This 163-nucleotide ribosomal RNA is filed under the name uncultured bacterium. RNAcentral's name for it is "partial 16S ribosomal RNA". It matches the Rfam family "Bacterial small subunit ribosomal RNA", at positions 355 to 509 of the family's 1533-position model. The record is from RNAcentral.
UAGGGAAUCUUCGGCAAUGGACGAAAGUCUGACCGAGCAACGCCGCGUGAGUGAAGAAGGUUUUCGGAUCGUAAAACUCUGUUGGUAGAGAAGAACGUUGGUGAGAGUGGAAAGCUCAUCAAGUGACGGUAAACUCCCAGAAAGGGACGGCUAACUACGUGCC